UAAGAGUUGUCAGACACAUAAUAUCCUGUUGAGGCCAAAAUUAUUAGCCCCCCAGGAAAUAUGGAACAAUUUCCUAAACUUCUUCCCAAUUUUAUGCAGUAUUGAUGAAACUUGAUAUAAUUAGAGUCACCAGUGCUAUUUAGUAGCUUCUGGUACAUUUUGUAAUAUAAAAUACAUUUGUAGGCUUUCUUUGUAAUGUAGUAAAAAGCUCCAUGUUAAUGUUUGCUUUCAAAACACACCUACAGUAAUGAAUCACCUUUAAAAACACACCUUAACUCAAGUCAGUUGGCUUCCUAACAACAUCCAAUCAGCAUAAAAAGACUCCAAGAAACAGGGCACUUGAAAACAUGACAGGGACGACUGUUACUCGCCAAAGACAAAGGAAAUCAGAAAGAAGACAAUAGAGGCUCAUAAUAAGGGGAAAGGCUACACUGCCAUUUCCAAUCAAUUCACAGUUUGCUGUGGAAAAUACUUUAUUGAAGACGUAUGAAGUGCAAUAAUUACACCCUGGAAAAGCAAAAGUUCAAAGAAAUCAUAAAAACCCCCAAAUUAUCAUGAGAUUCAUGAAUACGAGUAUAUAAACAUUUUAUUGCAUCAAGUCAGAAAAGAAAGCUCCAUGACACGACUUCCUGUCCACGUGUCUGUGCUGUGAGCCACCGUGAACAAACUGUUUACAUGUUUUGAUUCCACUUUUUGCUUUUUCUGCUAUGAUCCAAAAGCUCUGUGUGUCUUAAAGAAACACACAGAAAUACUUACUGGCUUCAAUCAUCUGUCCUUUUAUUAUUUAUUUAAUCUAUAUUUAACCAGGAAGAUCCCAUUGAGAUUAAAACAUUUUUCAAGGGAGACCUGCAGCAAGUAUCUCACAGUCACAAAAAUGACACAUAUAGACACAAUCAGGAACAACACGCAAAAAUCAAUCAAAUUCAGUAAAAAGUUAAACCCUCCAUCUGUCCUUAAAAGUAGUGAAAGAGCUGGAUCUUGCAUCUUAAACACGUCGCUCUCAUUGUUCUACAUUCUCAUGUUUUGUUUUUCUUUACACACACUGAAAUUGUGGGUUUUGUUUUUGAUUUGGUUAAAUGCAGCUUUUGCAGAGAAACGAUGAAAAUGUUUUUGACUGUUGUGAAAACUGAAGUGGCUCUAAAUCAGUUUUAGUAACUCUGGGAUUCUCAAAUUUGUCCUCACAGAGUAAAACCAGUCUGCAUCCAUCUUCCACUAUCAUCUAUUUGCUGUAUCCUUUUUGUCUCUGUUAUCUGUGGGAUUAACAAUAUAACUAGCAGCUGCUCACCUUUUACUGCAAACAGCUCUACAAUAAAGCAGGUCACCAGUAGAGAAAGAACUUGACCUCAUGUCCAAUAACUAAAAGUAUUAAUCUGCUCACAGAUUUUGUUUUUCAAGAGAAAAAAGCAAAGUUAAGUAAAACAAAACACCCACAAAAAACCCACCAAUCCGACAUUUUGCAGCUAUUUUCAAUGCUGAUUCUGUUCUCUGUCUUUAAUCCUGCCCAGAAACAGACAAUCUUACAUUUGCACUGUAGCCCUAAACCCUUCUACAUAUCACCUCAUAGAGGUUCAAGUGAAAAUAUAAUCCAACUGUCCAUUCAGACAAAUUAACUAUGUAAGACACACUCACAUUCUGGUAAUUGAGAAAUGCACGUACCCAUCUGACCCAUCAGAGCACGGACACUGGACAUAUGGGACGUCCUGUGGAGUCUGAAACAGGACAUUGGCAGCAGAUCAGUGAAUCAGACUUGUUCUGCUGAAUCUUGAUUUUGUUGUUGUUGUUGUUGUUGUUGUUGUAUUCCUCAAGCCAUUUCAGACCAGCUGAUGGAGUGUCUGAAUUGGUCUGGAUGGGUGCAGCAUGUCAAUCUAAACCUCACCUAAUUCAGGGUAUUUUCAACACCUGGCUGUGGCCUGAGGCAGAGGAGACACCGUGAGAGAGAAAAUAGAGACAAUAAAGUCCAAAAAACAAA
Molecule: long non-coding RNA, 1969 nt
Organism: Oreochromis niloticus (Nile tilapia)
Lineage: Eukaryota; Metazoa; Chordata; Actinopteri; Cichliformes; Cichlidae
Exons: 2
Source: RefSeq, a predicted model, not a curated record